This 72-nucleotide transfer-messenger RNA is filed under the name Albugo laibachii Alem1. RNAcentral describes it as "Mitochondrion-encoded tmRNA". It matches the Rfam family "Mitochondrion-encoded tmRNA". Lineage: Eukaryota; Oomycota; Peronosporomycetes; Albuginales; Albuginaceae. The record is from Rfam by way of RNAcentral.
UUUACGGACCCAAAGGCAGUAUUUGGUAUUUCCAUAUUUAUUAAUAGGGAAUAAUAAUAGAAUUGACGUAAA